This 254-nucleotide ribosomal RNA is filed under the name uncultured bacterium. Its description in RNAcentral is "partial 16S ribosomal RNA". It matches the Rfam family "Bacterial small subunit ribosomal RNA", at positions 524 to 776 of the family's 1533-position model. The record is from RNAcentral.
UACGUAGGGGGCAAGCGUUGUCCGGAAUCAUUGGGCGUAAAGAGCGUGUAGGCGGCCCGAUAAGUCCGCUGUGAAAGUCCAGGGCUCAACCUGGGGGCUGCGUUUGAUACGUGCGGACUUGAGUGCGGAAGAGGGUCGUGGAAUUCCCAGUGGUAGAGGUGAAAUGCGUAGAGAUCGGGAGGAACACCCGUGGCGAAGGCGGCCAUCUGGACCAGCACUGACGCUGAGGCACGAAAGCGUGGGGAGCAAACAGG